Molecule: RNA transcript, 3606 nt
Organism: Dicentrarchus labrax (European seabass)
Lineage: Eukaryota; Metazoa; Chordata; Actinopteri; Moronidae
Gene: ccdc150
Gene name: coiled-coil domain containing 150
Exons: 20
Source: RefSeq, a predicted model, not a curated record
GCGUCGCUAUGGAGAAAGAUGCCGGAAGUAGCGACUGUAACGGUGAGAGCAAACAGCUGAGUGUUUAUCCAACACUUUGUAUGACUGUAAAGAAGAAUAAAGUAACUUUUCUCGGACUAUUUCCCUCAACGCGACGCCGUAUUGAAGUUGUUGCUGUAGUCUCGUGCGCGAUAGCUCAAACACGCGGCUGCCGUGAUUUGUUCACGCGCCGUUGUCUUCAUUCAUAGAAAAACUACAGACUCACUCACAAUAGACUGUAUCCUUCCUCUAUAAGGUUCUACUUUAUUCUGGCAUUUGAUAAACUGAUAGUUAGUUACUUACAGCCUUUGGAACUUAUAAGAGGUUCAACAGUUUAGUCAAACUUGUAUUGUGUGUCCACUGUAGUGUUUGAUGAAGUGGUGAAUUGGCUAUGAGGGAGGCCACAAAACAAGGAUUUUUUGUAUUGUAGUGAGUUUUGGUAGACAUGGGACCAUCUAAAAAAUGGUGACACUAUAUAACUAUAUAUAUACUAUAUUAUAUCAUAUUAUCACGAUAAUCAUGAAAAUAUACUUAAUACUUUUAACAUGGCACUAAAACAUACUGGAAUCAAUUUACCUUAUAUUUUGUUAAGAAACAUAGAUUUACUGCGUCCAGACAGUCACCUCAUUUCCCUGUUCUUUCUUUUGGUAUUUCCAUCCAUCCAACAGGCAGUCCGAGCCUUCAGCCAUGGUGACAGGGUUAGGAUUUUGGAAUGACUGGAAAGAGGAAUUUUGAAAAGUAAUCAUGGAUAGAGUUUAAGAGUCGGCGCAAGUGCACCUGCAAAGGGCUGCUUGCUCUCCCCCACUCCAACCUGCACCCAGUCCCCCUUUGUAGGGAUGUCACGCUCAGCUGUCCCGCCCUUCAGCGUUGGGGCCACAGCCCCAGAGGCUCUGUCUCUUCUCCACCAGCGCCUGUUGUUGGCAGAGGAAGAGGCUGAAGCUCUUAUUCAAGACAUGGGUGUACUGGGGGUGUCCAGGGACCAAAUCUUGGGAUCUGCUGAGAGAAUGGGCGCCACUCAACGGCCUAUAAGUCCUUUGAAGAUGCGUCGGGUCUUUGGGGAUGAGGGCAUGCUUUGUGACUCUGUAGUGAGCAGGGUGUGUCGCAUGGAAAGUCUGCUACAGACCCUCAAACUCACCAUCUUCCGUCUGGAGACUGAGAAAGAAUUGGAUCCCUCUCACACAGCUCAUCUGAAGCAGCAGCUGGCAGCGCUGCAGCGGCAGAGUGAGGAGGAGCAUCACACCACCAGGAGGGAGGCGAUGAAGCUCAGGGACCAACUUCAGCAGGCUUACCAGGAGAGAGACGAAGCUCGCACAGAGGUGCAGAGGCUGGGGGACACAGUGGAGGCAGCUACUGCUGCCAAAAUGGAUGUGGCUCUCGCUGCUGAGGAACUGAAGAUUGUCAAAUUAGAGAUGAGUCAGAGACUGAAGGAGAUGAAAGAGCAGAUGAGGCAGGAGUCUGCCCGUUUAGCCGAAGCCACAAGAUCUCACAAUGAGCUUCACCAGCGGGUGGAGGAGAUGGAGAGAGUGGUGGAAAUGCAGAGGAGACAGGCUCUGCUGCUGCAGUCGGAUUGCCAUGCCUUGCAUGUGGAAGUCCAGACCGGCCAGCGGCAACUGGAGGAAGCGAAUGACAGAGGCAGACAGCUGGACGAGCACUGUCAGCGGCUCAAAGACCAGACAGAAAUGAAGGACUCCCUCAUGUCUGAGUUGAAAACUGACCUGAAAAGUGUUUGUCAGGCCCUUCAGAGGCAGCAGACAGAAAACAGUAAACUGCUGAAGGAGGGCACAGAGUUGAGAGCUGCUGCUGACAGAGUCCAGACCCUGAAUAAGCAGCUGCAGAGUCAGUGUACCCAGCUCAGUUCUGCCCUGCAUUCACUCACAGAGGAGAAUGAAAAACAUCAGGCCAGCUUAAAGGCCGAGAUGAGUCGUGUGGUCAAGCAACUGCAAGAGCGAGACCUGCAGCUGGGCGCCAAUAUUCAGACUGAGCUGCAGGUGGCACUAACACAUAAAGUUAGUCUGCAGCUGGAGCUAGAGAGGCUCAAAGGCGAACAUGCAAAGCUCCUGCAGAGCUCCUCCAUUGCACAAGAGACAGUGGCCACUCAGAGGGAACUACUGGAGCGAACCACUGAGAGGCUACGGGGGGAGCUGAACAUGGCCAAAAAAGAAGAGGGGGCAAUGAGGAAAGACCUGGAGGAUUCAAAAAAUGAGUUAUGUCUUGUUGUCACUAAGUUGGAAGGUGAGAGGAGCAGCCUGGAGACCCAACUUAGUGAGGCCAAGUGGGAGGUGGGAUCUCUGUGCUCAGUCUUGCAGAGCCAGCAGGAUGAGAACAGGAGGCUCAUGGGAAAGGUGGCUGCUUUAGAGCAGCAACAGCAUGCGGUGCAACAGGUGGACCAGAUGCUGAAGGACUUAACUGACAAGAAUAAGCCGGCCUGUGAGAAAGGGAAACUUAAGAUCAGUGAGCUGGAGGCUGUCUGUGGUCCUGGAGGGGGUGUUGUCAGUCAAACCCUUGAAGACAUCCUAGCCUCCCAUACCAGAAUCCAGCUCAACGGUCAGACCCUGGGGCGAGAGCAGGAGCAGAAAGACAGGCUGCAGGCUCAGAGAGAAAUCCGGAAACACCAAGCAGAGGUGGAAAAACUCCAGCAACUCCUGACAUCUACUCACUCCAAGAGCAACAGAGCUCUGGAAUCCUUACAGAAGGCCCUGGAUAAAGCCAAAGCUGACAACAAGAGGCUCGCCCAGAGUGUGGAGCAGGCUGUGUUUACCAACAGCAGUUUACACAGCAAACUGGAGCAGGCCAGAGACCAGUACCAGGCCACCAUCACACUAAGAGAUGAAGAGCUACACGUGGCUCGGACAAAGAUUGGUCGUUUGUCUGAAGAGCUGGGCGCCAUAAAGCAACGAAUGAGGGGAGAAUAUGACUCUUCAAUGAGGAGGCUGCAUCGAGAAAUCACAGAGCUAAAAAUGACAGUUAAGGACUCGUCAACCGGGUCAGGCGACCUGUCCAAAGCCAACCAAGAGCUCCGCCAGCAGGUGUCUGAGCUGGAGCAGCAGGUGUCCAAACAGAAGGCUCGUAUCAGAGAAGAGAGGAGGCAGCGACAGAAGAGCAGAGAUUCACAGGACAACUCUCAGAAAGUCGAAGUAAUGUUCCCCUGCACACCGUAAUAAUAAAGAUGCUUCCUCAAUGAACUACUGUUAAAUUAUCAAACACAACUGAUGAUGUCACCUAAACUGAUUUAAUGUGGUUCUGUGAACUUUCAGUGUCCUGUAAUGGUUAAAAUGUCGUUUCAGUCAUCUCCAACCUGACGUGAUUACAAUUCUGGAGGAUACACUGAAUUAUUUUUUAAUUAUCUAACAGCUCAGAUUUGAAGCCCUUAAAUAUUGGCACAAAAUGACAGCUUUUGAUAGCGUUCAUUUAGAAUAUUCAUUAUAAGAUUGAGGCUUGUAUUGUCCUUAAAAACCCUUUCUUGUUAAGUCCUAGUACAGAGAGAGGAGAUAAGGUUGGGACCAUGUGUGAGGCAAGGCCAGGACAGAGCAUCAAGAAUAUUGAGGAGCAAGAGGACAGUAAGCUCCCGCAGGACGGGAUGGACUCCCA